Molecule: long non-coding RNA, 6471 nt
Organism: Equus caballus (horse)
Lineage: Eukaryota; Metazoa; Chordata; Mammalia; Perissodactyla; Equidae
Source: RefSeq, a predicted model, not a curated record
UCUACUGUGAAGCCAUGUGGUCGGUGUGGCUGCCUCCUGUCUUGGGUGUUUCCUUAAAGACGAAGAUGCUAGUGGUGGUUUUCCUCCAUGGGUAUCUUGGGAUGGAGGCAGAAAACACUCCAUGAGCUUCUCUGGUCUGUCAUCCACCUGUUUGCGUAUCAGCGGUAGAAAUCUCUGGUAGCCGUUACAGGGACCCUCCAUAUAGGAAGGCGGCUCCUCUGAUCAUGGGGUGAGAUGUAUUCUGUGUCUCAACUAAAAUUGUGAUUUUAGGAACCAUGUUUUUGGUUAAUUUGAGCUCAGAAACACGAGAUUUAUGUUUCUCAGAUUUCAUAGCAAGGGCAUUUUAAAGAGGAAAAUGUGCCGUUCUCGGGGAGGGAACACGCCCAUUCUUUGGUGGCUUGGUUUUGAAGAAGCGUUUCCUCUCUGGUGAAGAAAAGCCCUUCGUCUGAGAGCUGAUGUGCUCCUUCAUUGUGACGGGUUAGAGAGGCGGGAGGACAUGCUUUCAGGUUAUUAGCUGAAAAUGACAUGAAUUCUCCAGGCUAGAAUCCAUUUCUAAGUAUUUCCUAUUCUUCAUCCAAGCUGGUUAGUGAAGCAGGGUCCUGGUCCAUCUUGCCAUUGGAUAUAUUUGUUUUUGAAAUUAGGAAGUAUUUUAAAAAUUCAGAGUCAGGAUUUUGAUGAAGAGGUAAAUGUCAGUAGCCAUCACUUAGAACAAAAUCUAUUACUAAAAACUAAUAAAGGUCAUUUGACAAUUUGAUUGAAAUUAGUUUUUAUGAAGUUAAACUAUUUCAGCUUCCUUUGGUACUCACAUCUAUUACAACUAGUGUCUUAAGCAUGCAAGCCAGGAAAUAGUGAGAACUAUACUGAUUGCAUCGUAUGAUUUUAACACAAAGAUGAGCAUAUUCUAGUAAUGUGUAAUUCAACUUUUAAAGGAAUUAGCCGUAUUCUUGAAAAGAGAACAAAGUAGGUAUUAGUGUAUAAAAUCAUAUUUUCUUAUUGAUUCAUUGUAAUUUCACAUGGCCAUUCCCACGUGAGAAAAAACUUAGCACAUGAAAACACGAUUUUAAGUCCUACCAGAUGCUGGAAGGGGUGUGCCCGUUGGUGGAAAUGGCUUUCCUGUGUCGCCCUCAUCGCGCCUGGGGUUGGUCAGUGAAGAAUGGUCCACACUGACGGGAGGAUCAUUUAUUUGUCAUGAGCGCCUGCAGAGGCCAAGGCCCUGCUCGGCCCCCUGGGGAGCUGAGCCUGGGGAAACCCUCCCGUCCUUCAGUGCAUGGUUGUGCUGCUCCCGGGCUCCUAGUGAGAGCCCAGCGAGGGGACUUGGCCUCCCCUGUCCACCGGGUUCCUUCCAUGCAAGGACGCUGUUGACUAAGAAGGGCGACACACCAGUCAUGCGCCACCCCGUUCCCACACCAGGUCCCCAGAGGAACAGGAGGUGGGCAGAGACGGCGGCCCCUUGAGUGCGUGCGGUCAGGGUCCCGCAGCUCACAUUCCACUCGAGGUGCCUUCUCACCGAUCUCUCCCAGCCUCCUCCCAGAGACCCUCGGAGGUGCCGCCGUCAACACGGAUGGAUCUGCCUGUACCCACACGCUCCCUCCUCACGGGAGAUGUUGCUGUUCCACGUCUUCAGCACGGCUGGGGCCUGUUGUGGGGCAGCCAGGAGUGACCGGCCUGGCCCAGUGUCCGUGGACCCUCUUCUGUAUGAAGCCUUCUCUUGUCCACGCCUCCCUGUUUUGCUUGUCUCCUCGUAAGGGCUCGGUCACCUGAAUUCACUGGCUGUGCCGUCCUCUUUCUCCCUGCUGAGUCUCCUUCCUCCCUCCUUCCGUACGAUACCCUCACUCUGUUAAUUAAGGCCCCGUCAGAAUGCAAAGCAAGAGUGCACCCUGUUCCCAUUUUAUUAGGAAACUUCACAGACUUUGUGUGAGGUAGCUCUCUAACCAGCAGCCCCAGCUCUUCUAAUAAUGGUUUAUUGGACCUGAAGAACAAACAAGAGGCUUUCAGAAGGAGGUCGCGUCUAAGGAGCAUUCGGUCGUCAUUCAGGGAUCACGCCUAGAACAGACCUCUGCUGACUUUUGCUCUGACGUUUUCUGUGAGGGUGGAUGAGCAAGUGGGAUUUCUAAAUUCAGGUGAGAAUCUUAGCUGUGCACGCUGGCUGUUGUCCAGCUUAAAUGCUCUGUGGAGGAGGUGGCUGGAGCAGGGUGGUCGUGCCUGUGUCAGCAGGGGGCAGAGUCCAGGAUCUAGGCUUAGUCCAGACGUUUGAUUCAGCCAGGAAAGCACGUGACAAAGAACCAGAGCCUCAACCCUUCACUUCAACCCACCUGGCGUGCAGAGCGGGCCGCGUUCAUUCGUCUUAAAGAGUCUAGUCCUCGCUUACGUAACACUAGCACUUUGCGAAGGAAGGAGGGAGUAAUUUGGGAGGUUAUUAUCUAAACUAGAGAAGUAAUCAGUGGCGAAGGCCCAUUUGUCUUUUCAAAAUAGCUUAUAGGAGACUGUACUUGACAACGUGCUCACAGUUUUGCAUAUUCAAUUACACAAUUGAAGAAUCAUAGCAUCACUCAUCUUUCAAAAAAACUUUCCAGGAACUUCCUGAAGUUGAAAAGAGUCUUAUUAUAGCAGGUAAAAAUUACCGGUUCCCUGGCACAUUUCUUGUGCGUAUUGUUUGCUGUGUUCUGUGCUCUGACACACGCCCGGCGUCGUACCCGGAAGUCAAGGACGUAAUCCUGGCUCUGAACUGGGAAGCCCCCAUCCACGGAGAUUUGGUAAAAACAGUGAUAUUACUCCACUGCGGUCGCUGUUAGGGUUAGUAUCAGUGAGCUAACGACUUACGCGUAUUCAACAAACUAUUAUUUUAAAAGCAUCUUUUAAUUGGUUAUUCACCAGCUAUUUGAAUACACACGCACACACGCACGCACGCACACACACGCGUGCGCUGUCUGGAAACUCUGGUGGAGCUGUUUUACGGGCCUACAGCCCCUGCUCUGCUGAGGACGUCCAUGGAGCUCAUGAGAUUUAGCCUCUCUGAGUGAGGGCGUGCAGCUUUGCAAGCAGGCGCUCGCCUCAGGGGUGUGAUUUGAGGGGCUUCAGAAAACUUCUCCCAAAUUUCCUGCUGUAAUGCUUGUUUUCCUCCUUCAGAAAUUAAUCCCAGAGGGUCUUCAAGGCUUUUUGUUUCCAAGAGUCCCCAGUUAAACUUGAAAAAUACCUCUGAAAUCUAAAAUAUAGAGCGUUGUGGUUUUAUCUCCCUCAGGGUCUACAUACAGCAUGGAUCCUCUAGAAUGAGCCCCAGACAAGUGACCCUGGGGUCUGAGACCCUGACAGAGGGAUCGGGAGAUGGGACCAGAUGAUGUUGCUUAGGGCUUUGUGUCCUUUGUCAGGGGACGUUGUUCUCUCCUUCUACUCACUGUGUGUAGAUGGACAGGAAGCACAGGCUCAAUUCACGACGGUUCCUGGAGUGGCUCAAGUCGAGAAGGAUGGCUUUAAUAGAAGAAACGAGUUUGGGCUGUUUCAUAGACUCUGCCAACAUCCGCCAGGUCCUUAGCAAGUCGCUUUGCUGCCUCCACCAGAUUUAUCCAGAUCCAGCCAGGGCCACGGCCGGCUCCCCUGGGCCUGUGGUUCCCCCCUGAGGUUGUGCCCCUAUCUGCGUCCUCCUAGCCUGCACCCCAGACAGCUCCCCGCUCACUUCAGUCUCCACGGGUGGCGCCUCCUUCCUCACCUCCUUCUCACAGGCCUCUCUCUUUCAGGAAUUAAGGAAGAAAUGCACAAAGCGCUCUUGGAAACCUGUUUGAAAUUGUGAUAGAGCAUGCCCAAAACAGGUGCUUCCUGGCUCAGAAAGCUGAGCUCCUGGGAGGCUGUGUCUUGGUCAACGUGGUUCAGCUGGAGGUGCAGGGGUUUCUGUCUGCGGUGAAUGAGCCCUCUCACACCAGCUGCCUCCCCUCGUCACAGCAGGCUUGUCGGGGUCUGCAGUAAGAACCAUGUCGCGCUCAGUGCUUACUAUCUGCCUGACGAUUUAAAGUACGUGUUCUUAUUUAACCUCCCUACAACAUGGGAGGGCCCUGCCAGUGUAGUUCCAAUUUCACAUAUGAAGACGUCGCGACUGGGCUAGCAAGGCAUUUUCCCAUCUUCCUGCAGCUAAUAAAUGCUGCAGUCGCAAUGCCCCCUGGGUCCUUCCGGCUCCUGGAUGCCUGUGUUCUCUCUGGUACAACAGAAUGAUUACUCCCAGUCUCAAUUUUUUUAAUCAGAUUUUUGAAAGACCCAAGCUAUUUAAUUUUUUUUUUAGUGAAUAUGGAUAGUCAGGAGCUAUCUGUAUAUAUUUUGAACUUUUGAACCAACUCAUCGGUGUCAGAAAGUUGAGAAGCAUUUGUUAAACUCCUGUGUGCUGGCCCCCAUACAGAAUUCAAUAGAGCCAUUAGCCUCUCAUAAAUUGAUCAGAAAAAAAUAUGAACAGAAUGAAGAACAGGAGAAGACAGUAGAGACUCAUGUGCUAGUCUGUGAAGUUGGGAUCAUGAUUCUGCAGAGUUUAGGUAGAACUCACUAGAGGUGGUGCUGGACCUGGGUCUUGAAGGGAAUCUGGAGUUAAUACGUGAGAGUAGGUCCAGGGCUUCCCAAGAAGACGGAGCAUCAGAAGGGGUCUCGUCAGGUGGGUGUGUGAUGUCCUGGUCCUGGAGGUCUCUUGCAGGGCUCCAGCCCACCCAUCAUGGAGCAUGUGCAUCAGAGUGCCUCUGAGAUGGGCAAUGCUGGCAUCUCCUUGCCUAGAAAACGGACAGAUGAUGCUGUCACUUUGUGUGGUGACCAGGGGCCAGCAGGGACAUGUCUCACUGUGUUCUGUAGGGUUUCCAUACCCCAGGGCUGCUAAGGAACAUUCCCAGAGACCCUGGAAGCAAGCAGCAGAGACUGACCCACCUCUGCAAGGGGUCUGCUAUUUGCUGGUGGGCGCUUCUCCCCCGUCCUCUUCAUGCCGCCAGCUUCAUCCCAGGCUCGGAGAGUCUUUCAGGGCCAGUGAAUCACUGUAUCCCACUGCCUGCUUUUGUAAAGAAAGUUUUAUUGUACCACAGCCACACCCACUGUUCUGUACCGCCUGUGGCUUCUUUCCUGCUACAAUGGUAGUUGUGAGAGAGAGCGUGUCAUCCUCAAAGCCUAAAAUAUUUACUCUCUGGCCCUUUAUAGAAAAUGUUCACUGAGCUCUGUGCUAAUUGUCCUUCUGUCCUUAUCAUACUUUUCUCUGGCCAGGCAGAGACAUUUCUCAAACUUUUUCUCUGUUGGGACUUUAUUCUGUCAACACUGAUUUAGACUGAUGUUUGGUGCAAAAGUAAACAGAGCUAUAAAGGAGGAAGCAUGAGUAAUUAAUUUGACCCCAGGGUAUCUUCGUGUGAUUCCAUUCUGCAUUAAGUCAGGAAGUCUUCCUGCGAACAAAUCGUAUUUAAUAUCUUAUUUGUUGGCUCACCAGCUCUUGGGUGCCCUGUAAGCUGCAUUUGCUCUCAGACUCAGCCAGGCUCACCCUCCUGAGGUUGACCAGCAGUCCCAGUGGCCAAGAGCCUGGAGAUACCAGUGGCUCUUGUCCUUGUUUAUUCUGUACAUAUUGGGCUGUAAGCGUACAUUCCUCUGGGCAGAAAUUAAAGUUAAUUCAUCCUUGUAAUCAAAUUGGGCACUCCUAAAUUAAGUAACUCAUGAUAUUUAAACAAAGUUCAUAAUUUUUACGUUAAUUGGCUAUUUUAUUCUAGAUCUUGUUCUUUUUCAACUGGAAAUAUUUUGUUAAUUCAAAGGGAACACAUUUCAACAGUCACUUCAGCUGAAAAAUCAUCGCUAAUUGAGAUUUCGUCUUCCUGUCUGUUAAAGAACUAUUUGGUGCCUUAUUUGUGUGAUUUACUUUUCAAACCCUCAAAUCCGAUACGUACAAUGACCAGCUGAUGCAGCUGAAAUAGCUGCUAGUGAGGAGCGGUGAGAAGAGCAGCCUUGGGCUUCUGGAGCUGAGAUAGACACGUUUCCAGAGAGCGAUGGCCACUCGUCCACUCGUCAGAUAUCUUCAAGUCAUGAGAGGAAGCAACUGAGAAGGUGGCUUGAACACAGCUCUACACGUGUCACUGUCUGGAGCUGAGGAACCUCUCCUCGUCAUGGUUUUUCAUCUUGAGAUAAUUGUAUCAAGCUGAGAAGAAUCAGGACCAGAGCAUCACCACCCCAUGAUAACUCCACAAAGGACCAGGAAGAGUUUGCUGUCCUCAUCUGGUGGUGGAAACCAUUUCUGGGUUUGAAGAUUACAGCGCCCGUUUCCUCGGAGGCAUCACGGGAUGUGUCAUACGAGGACCCUGCCCGUCACUCAUAUUAAGACAAUUUCCUUAAUUUGUCACUGCAUUCGUCUCCGCAUCUGAAAACUGAAAAGAACCACAAUAGCAGAAGAACGGAAGAAGCUCUAUUACUAUUUAGAUAUUUGUUUUGCCAUUUUUGCAUCAAAAAUAUUGAAAACUGAAAUUAAACAUCUAUAAAGUA